This 1153-nucleotide ribosomal RNA is filed under the name Bacteroides thetaiotaomicron. RNAcentral describes it as "partial 16S ribosomal RNA". The record is from RNAcentral. Lineage: Bacteria; Pseudomonadati; Bacteroidota; Bacteroidia; Bacteroidales; Bacteroidaceae.
UACUAGCGAAUCCAGCUUCACGAAGUCGGGUUGCAGACUUCGAUCCGAACUGAGAGAGGCUUUUGGGAUUAGCAUCCUGUCACCAGGUAGCUGCCUUCUGUACCCCCCAUUGUAACACGUGUGUAGCCCCGGACGUAAGGGCCGUGCUGAUUUGACGUCAUCCCCACCUUCCUCACAUCUUACGACGGCAGUCUCUCCAGAGUCCUCAGCAUGACCUGUUAGUAACUGAAGAUAAGGGUUGCGCUCGUUAUGGCACUUAAGCCGACACCUCACGGCACGAGCUGACGACAACCAUGCAGCACCUUCACAAAUGCCUUGCGGCUAACCUGUUUCCAGAUUAUUCAUUUGCAAUUUAAGCCCGGGUAAGGUUCCUCGCGUAUCAUCGAAUUAAACCACAUGUUCCUCCGCUUGUGCGGGCCCCCGUCAAUUCCUUUGAGUUUCACCGUUGCCGGCGUACUCCCCAGGUGGAAUACUUAAUGCUUUCGCUUGGCCGCUUACUGUAUAUCGCAAACAGCGAGUAUUCAUCGUUUACUGUGUGGACUACCAGGGUAUCUAAUCCUGUUUGAUACCCACACUUUCGAGCAUCAGUGUCAGUUGCAGUCCAGUGAGCUGCCUUCGCAAUCGGAGUUCUUCGUGAUAUCUAAGCAUUUCACCGCUACACCACGAAUUCCGCCCACCUCUACUGUACUCAAGACAGCCAGUAUCAACUGCAAUUUUACGGUUGAGCCGCAAACUUUCACAACUGACUUAACUGUCCACCUACGCUCCCUUUAAACCCAAUAAAUCCGGAUAACGCUCGGAUCCUCCGUAUUACCGCGGCUGCUGGCACGGAGUUAGCCGAUCCUUAUUCAUAUGGUACAUACAAAAAUCCACACGUGGACCACUUUAUUCCCAUAUAAAAGAAGUUUACAACCCAUAGGGCAGUCAUCCUUCACGCUACUUGGCUGGUUCAGACUCCCGUCCAUUGACCAAUAUUCCUCACUGCUGCCUCCCGUAGGAGUUUGGACCGUGUCUCAGUUCCAAUGUGGGGGACCUUCCUCUCAGAACCCCUAUCCAUCGAAGGUUUGGUGAGCCGUUACCUCACCAACUGCCUAAUGGAACGCAUCCCCAUCGAUAACCGAAAUUCUUUAAUAAUUAAACCAUGCGGUUUUAU